GAUUAAGGUCCUUGAAAGUGAAAUCAGAAGCCUUUGGGUUUUGAAGAUGAGUGAUAUGAUCAUUUUAAAAAGUUCACUCUGUCUCAUAAGACACUGUAGUGGGACCAAGGCAGAAACAGAGAGACCAGGAGUUUAUGACACCGUGUGAAGAGAACACGCUGACUUUGAUACAUCAGAAAUGCAUUUGUUUAGAAAACAUUUCGUUGACAUUUCUUGUAGAAAAUAGCUUCACAUUAGCGUAGGAUAGGCUGAGACUGUGACAGUAUGAGUCAGUAAGAACUCUCUGAGUUUCGUUUUUCAAGUAAGAAUUUACUGGAUAGUUUAACAAGUGGACAAUAUGUGGGGUGAAAGAGUUUACACAUUUGAAUUUAUUUUGUUAUAACAUUUGGGAUUAUUACUAAGAGAGAUACACUGAGGUAAAUUCCAGUUUACUUAAGAACUGACAAAACUUGAUUUAGGUUGGUCGUCUUCUCAGAUAUUACUGAAACAUCUACCGGUCUAUUAAUAAACAUUUGCAGAAUAUCUUCCAUAAAUUCAAGAUCAUUCUGCAUGGUGUCUUUGUUUUUAUCAAGUGACAAUAUAAUACGUGAUUCUUCAACUUUAGAAUAGUCUUCAAAUUCCUUUUUAUGUUAAGUAAAAAUCUAUCCCAGUUCUUUUUAAUUUUUUUAUAACUUCACUAAGGUCUGAAAUGCAAUUUCUC
Molecule: long non-coding RNA, 700 nt
Filed under: Homo sapiens (human)
Lineage: Eukaryota; Metazoa; Chordata; Mammalia; Primates; Hominidae
Description: HSALNT0281183
Source: RNAcentral